This is a long non-coding RNA of Vidua macroura (Pin-tailed whydah), 595 nucleotides long. RefSeq lists it as uncharacterized. The transcript has 3 exons. The record is from RefSeq and is a predicted model, not a curated record. NCBI's taxonomy places the organism in Eukaryota, Metazoa, Chordata, Aves, Passeriformes, Viduidae.
UUUUGCACCAGUGUCCCUCUCCACACCCAAGCACAGACUCGGGGAGGCCUCUCUGCCCCCCAGGAGAGCCCCUGCUCCUGGGGCUGCUGCCGGCUGCCGUGAGGAAGCAGCCCCAGGUGCUGCCGAGGGGAGCCCUGAGGGGAGCGGCCCUCGGGAACGUGCUGAGGGUGGCUGCGGAGGGAGAGAUGAGGUUGGGAUCGGAGAGAUGAACUGAAGGCAGCAGCCACGAGCAGGCCCACAGGCACAGCGUGGAGGCCCAGAGGUGGCCAGCAAGAGGUGGCCACCACAAGGGAAAAGCAGCUUUCCAGGAGCAGCCAUGAGAACACAGAGACUUCCCUGGGUGGGCCGGGACUCAGGGGAUGAGCACCAGAAGCUGGAAGGGGAUGCAGUGGGACAGAGGACCCCAGCUGACUGAAGGGAUAUCCCAUACCACGAGAUGUUGUACUCUGCCAUAAAACUGGAGGAAGGGAGGAGGAAGGAAGGAUGCUUGGAGCUGUGGCAGUGUCUUUCCAGAUAAACACACAGAGAAGGCCCUGGGGCAUUCCACUGUAAUCCAUAGCUGCAGUCAGAGCUGGCCAGCCCCAGACACCAGUGA